AUGGAUCAUACUCAACCCAGGGAUGGGCAUGGCAAUGAACCUGUGCCUUUAGGUCAGAUGCUUUUUGAGCAUUCGGGUAGUGAUGCGCCCCUUAGACUUGGUCCUCCAGGCUUUGGGAGUAUGGCAAGUAGAUCGAAUGACGUUCCAUCUUCAAGUCAUGCUACACAGUUUCCAGGUCAUAGAGUUUUGAACGUAGGGACCUCACAUGUUUCCUUUGUUCCCUAUCGCACUGCAAUAUCCAGCAGCCAUGUACCAUAUGAUGCUCAGCCGAAACCUGCCCUAAGUUCCCAUGUGGACAACAGAAUGGUUGCAAUGAAGCGAAAGAGCCUCCUUCCUUCAGUGGAGGGAAUGGACGCUGUUGACUAUUAUGUCGGCAGCUCCUCCAACAGUCACUUCUCUGAUUUUGUGCAGCCAAAUCCUAGUGCACUUACCGAGCCCUUGCAUCCGCAAAUGCCUUUAAACAUUGGUCCAAGCAACUGGAUUGACCAACGCUUAGUUAAUCAAGAAGGAUCUCAGAGGAAUGUCAGAGCGCGCCAUGAUAGUGCUAAUAUUUCAUUGGAACCUAGGCCAGCUUCAACUUACACACCAAGUAACAAUCAUCAGCUGCCGUUCCAUUCAACCACAAGUGCUUUUGCAAGUACGUCAGCAGGAAGGAACCAAGCACCUUUUCCUGUGCCAACAAGAACAUUACCUUCAGGUGGCACUGGGAUCACUGAUAGGAUCUACCAUCAUCCUAUGCAUAGCAGCAGCUCAAGUGUUGCUGCUGCCCCAACUGUCCAUGGUUCUUCAGACAGUGCGAUGUUUGCCAAUGCUGGCUUUCCUGCUCCUAGAGCUGUUCAUGGCUCAAGUGCUGCUGCUGCCCCAACUGUCCAUGGAUCUUCAGACAGUGCGGUAUUUGCUAAUGGUGGCUUUACUGCUCCUAGAGCUGUUCAUGGUGGCGCCGUUCCUAGCUACGGCCAUCCAUCCUACACAGUUUCCUCUGGCUCAAGAGCAAUUUCGCAUGAUGCAGUCAUUCCGAGCUAUCCAGCUGCUACCUCUACAUCCAUGAGGAUCAUCAAUCUGCCAUCUCCUAUCAGUAACGCUGCAUCUUCUAGGCAUGCAAGGGUAUCCAUGGUGCAUGCCAACAGUGGAAGGAAUAGAUUUGUAGAUAGGAGCUCAUUCCAUUUGAUUGCUGAGACACAGCGGGUUAUGAUGGAGCAGUUGGCUUUCUAUCAACAAUCAAGACAAGCAGCUGCUGACCCCCACAGGGACUUGAGACUGAACAUUGAUGAGAUGAGUUACGAGGAACUGUUGGCCUUGGAGGAAUCCAUAGGUACUGUGAACACCGGCCUUGCCGACGAAAAGAUUUCAGGUUGUGUGAAAGAAGUGGUCUGUUGCAGUUCGGAUGAGGCACAAGACGACGAAGAUGAUGGGCGCUGUCUAGUCUGCCUGGAGGAGUACAAAGACAAUGAACUCCUGGGAAUUCUGAAGUGCAGGCACGACUUCCACACUGACUGCAUCAAGAAGUGGUUGCAGGUGAAGAACGCAUGCCCGGUGUGCAAAUCCGCCGCGGCUUAG
Molecule: ribosomal RNA, 1557 nt
Filed under: Triticum aestivum (bread wheat)
Lineage: Eukaryota; Viridiplantae; Streptophyta; Magnoliopsida; Poales; Poaceae
Description: partial small subunit ribosomal RNA
Source: RNAcentral